This is a long non-coding RNA of Pezoporus flaviventris, 1870 nucleotides long. RefSeq lists it as uncharacterized. NCBI's taxonomy places the organism in Eukaryota, Metazoa, Chordata, Aves, Psittaciformes, Psittacidae. The transcript is spliced from 2 exons. The record is from RefSeq and is a predicted model, not a curated record.
UAAGGCUGAGCGUAGGUGUGUUUGUUGCCCAGCUGCAGCCCAGCACUGGCAGGGACCGGCAGUAAAGCUUCAGCUUCAGAGCAGCUCCCAAGGGAAAGGAAGGGCAGGCCCUCAUGUCUUGCUUUCUUCACAACAGCUCUGAUCGACAAAGGAGCUGGCUUUGGACUCCGCCAGGUAAACUUUCCUGUGACCAACCAAAUGCCUGCAAUACCAGGAUGCUGUGGCUAGUAACUUUGUGCAUAGCGGUUCUGUGCCAGAAAUCUGUGCCAUUGUCAUGGCCUCACACUAUAACAUAACGUGAGAAUCUCUGUUGCUGCCACUCGUUGCUUACUCCAAAGCUACUUUUGCUCCUUUGGCAUUGCUCAAGGCUUAUGUUUGCCUUGAGGUCUUGAUUAACAUUGCUUGUAUUUUCUUGAAUAGCUUUCCAGAAAGCCCAGAUCCACCUUCCUUCGGCAGCCAGCGACAUGACCAAGCUUUGAGCCUGAAGCAACCCAGCCGUCCCCCUUCUUGCAUGUAUUGGAGGAGCAAGAACAUGACCCAUCUGGCUACUGCUGAUGCCUCAGAACAACACAGGAGGGUGGUGGUCUUAGUAACUGCAGCUUUUAUGGGUUUGGACCAACAGUCAGCAUUGAAAAUAAACCAGAUUUAGGACAGUGGAUCACCACUAAGCUAUUCAGGGACAUUCUUCCAUUGUGAAGACUGAACCUGUUCUGCUGAGGGCUCCCAGGCUGGAUUUGGUCCAUGGGUGCUUCCAUCAAAUCCACUACUUUUUGUUCUUGAAAGGCUUCCUACUCCCUCUCUCCCAUGCUUUGGAACAUCUCCUGUGCCUGACAGAGCCUUGUCACUGUGCCUGUGCUAGGCUUUGAUAACUAAGAGCCAUAAUGUCCACCAUGGCUCUUCAGUGCAUCUGCAGCAAGGAAAAAAGGAAGGUGUACCCCAUACAAAAUAAAGUCCUGAUGAAAAACCAAGCAAAAGAGGAAAAUUUAACCGUCUGGCCCCAACGCACGAGGCUCAUCAGGUGCUGUGGCAGUCACACUUGUUCUUUACUUUUCAGUUUUGUUUUGUUUUUUUAAUAGAAGAGGGUCUUCUUUUCAGUAAUCUCAACUUUCCACAAAAGUCAGCCUGCUGUCAAGCAAAACUUACACUUUCUGAGAUGGUUAGUAGGGUCAGCAACCACCAAACCCAGUUCUGACGUAGUUUUCAGCCACCCCCCUGGUUGUACUAGCAGGAAGUCCCAGAUUGAAAGCUUCUUUUGCAGACCAGCCAAGUCUGGCACUAAAUCACUCCAGCCUUACCUAGUGGGUGGGAGAUUACGGCUACCCAGAGUUAGUAACAAAGUCCUAUCCCUUUGCUAGGGUGACCAUUCCUACAAGCACUGCAGAAUUUGGAGUCACUGUAGCUAAAACUCUGCUUUGUCAGCAAAGUCUGUGCAAAUUUAAGCCCAUGAUUCACAGGGAAAUCUGUUCAGAAAUCUCUGGCUUGCUUUUGAACUACUUUGAGUCUCUGUUCUUGUUGGGUUCAUGGUGGAAGAGAAUUUUAAUAGCUGUCUUUAGAGACCUUGAUUUCUUCACUGCAUACCAACCAGUCUUUACAUUCACCUGUUCAUUUCUCUCUGGAGAGCUUCUUUCUUGUCAGCUGUGUGUUAGUCCAGUCUUUGCUAUAGGCGAGCCAGUUAAGGCCAGGGCCAUCGAACAUCAAUUAGUCAAACAAACAUACAUUUAAGGAGAUGUUCACACCACCUAAGGUAAAGCACCUUUCUUGGACAGUGUUUCAGCUGGACACUCUGGGGACUACACAGGGAGCCUGGGAGAGGUGACUGAAGCACCCUGUUCUGUGUAGUUAUGCAGAUAAAACAGUUUGGUUAAUAUUC